Molecule: ribosomal RNA, 458 nt
Filed under: uncultured bacterium
Lineage: Bacteria
Description: partial 16S ribosomal RNA
Rfam family: Bacterial small subunit ribosomal RNA
Source: RNAcentral
CCUACGGGUGGCAGCAGUGGGGAAUAUUGCACAAUGGGGGAAACCCUGAUGCAGCGACGCCGCGUGAGUGAAGAAGUAAUUCGUUACGUAAAGCUCUAUCAGCAGGGAAGAAAUACUGACCUUACGGUCAGCAGACGGUACCUGAGUAAGAAGCCCCGGCUAACUACGUGCCAGCAGCCGCGGGAAUACGUAGGGGGCAAGCGUUAUCCGGAUUUACUGGGUGGAAAGGGAGCGUAGACGGUGCGCCAAGUCUGGAGUGAAAUGCCGCAGCUUAACUGCGGAACUGCUUUGGAAACUGGCGAACUAGAGUGCGGGAGGGGUAAGCGGAAUUCCUAGUGUAGCGGUGAAAUGCGUAGAUAUUAGGAGGAACACCGGUGGCGAAGGCGGCUUACUGGACCGUAACUGACGUUGAGGCUCGAAAGCGUGGGGAGCAAACAGGAUUAGAUACCCGAGUAGUC